RNAcentral lists this ribosomal RNA (426 nucleotides) under Leptodactylus notoaktites group sp. ABGD cluster 63. RNAcentral's name for it is "partial large subunit ribosomal RNA". It matches the Rfam family "Bacterial large subunit ribosomal RNA", at positions 1831 to 2457 of the family's 2925-position model. Lineage: Eukaryota; Metazoa; Chordata; Amphibia; Anura; Leptodactylidae. The record is from RNAcentral.
CUUGAAAACCUUAUAAGAGGUCCAGCCUGCCCAGUGACUCUGUUCAACGGCCGCGGUAUCCUAACCGUGCGAAGGUAGCGUAAUCACUUGUUCUUUAAAUGAGGACUAGUAUGAAUGGCACCACGAAGGUUAUACUGUCUCCUUUUUCCAAUCAGUGAAACUAAUCUCCCCGUGAAGAAGCGGGGAUAAAAAUAUAAGACGAGAAGACCCUAUGGAGCUUUAAACAAAUAUACAACUGUCUUCGCCAUUAAAAAUUUCAGAAAAUAAACAACCACCCAGACAUUUUGAUAUAGAGUUUUAGGUUGGGGUGACCGCGGAGCAAAAGACAACCUCCGCAAUGAAGGGAAAUUUCCCCCUAAACCAAGGGCCACGACCCUACGUAUCAAUAAAUUGACACUAUUGACCCAAUACAUUUGAUCAAUGAAC